This 1111-nucleotide small RNA is filed under the name Arabidopsis thaliana (thale cress). Its description in RNAcentral is "ATSL290280". The record is from RNAcentral. Lineage: Eukaryota; Viridiplantae; Streptophyta; Magnoliopsida; Brassicales; Brassicaceae.
UCCCUUAUUUUUUCACAAUUAUUUAUAUAUUACUUAAACUAUGUAAAUAUCUAAUGAACUAAAUAAUAGGGAAUCUUGCAAAAUCUGUCAUAUUUCACUCUAUUUCUUUCAAUUUCUGUCAUAUUCUAAAACUUUUUUCAAAAUCUGCUACAUUUUGGUCCACGUGGAAUUCAGUGGACGAAAUUACCCUUAAGGUGGGUCAGCGCUCUGACGAAGAUGGUGACAUAACAACUUUUGGCCGAUGUGAUGAUAUAAGACGAAAAAUCAUGGUGGAAGCAUAAAGGAUUAGGGGACAGAAUAGUGGAGAACAGCUGGCUUCUACUGUUGUUAUUGGGUAUUUAAAAAUGACUUGUUUAAACAAAUUGGUUAUCCAAAAUUCUGCGGGGGACAACGUAAUAUAUAAUACAUUAGGAGACAUGAUUACCUGAUAUCGGGGGACAACGUAAUAUAUAAUGCAUUAGGAGACAUGAUUACCUGUUAGCAGAGAACAAUUGGAGCAAGACUUUUGUUUUAGUCUCCAGAUCUUGUCCCCGAAUAGAAAUUCUCUGUUGCAUCUACGUUUUGUCCUCGAUUUCAUCAUCUUGCUCUAUUAUUAUGAAUCAUACAUCUUAUAUGCAAUUGUUCUCAUUUAAGAAUUUUGAAUUUUAUUUAGAUUUUCGCCAUCUAUUUUGGUCCACAGAUUAGUUGAGCGUUAUUGUUUUCACAGAGAUGCUGAAACCAUCUAUUUUUCGCCAUCUUAUAUGAUAAUUUUGAAAGAUGAUAAAAUCGGGGACAAGAUCUAGAUACAACAGAUAAUUUAUGAUGAAUAAAAUUGGGAAACAAAUUUAAUUGAAAGUUAUAUAUAGAGAAUAUGUGCAGGUUGUCAGGGGAAGUGAUAGAAAGACAAAAGCUUUUCGUUUUGUCUUUGGAAAAAUAAUGGUGUAUGGUCAAAAUGCACGGAUUUCGAGGAAAUAGAGAUAAAAUAUAGAAGAAAUGGUGAGGAUAAAAUUGACAUUUCCCAUCUAAAUGUGGCAUGAGUUGUAAGACCUAGAAAAAUAAUGACACAUUAUAUAAGGAUUUUAAAAAAUAUGGCAUAGGAUAUAAUUUUUCCUAAAUAAUAUACCAACAAACA